AUGCAUUUGUCCCCUCGAUGGAGAUAUAUGGGGGACUGGGACUGGGGCAAUAGAAAAUGAAUAUCAGUUGCACUUCUUUUUAAGUGGUCCCACUAAUGAUAGGCUAUGAGAAGAUGUUCGGUGUUGGGUCGAAGCUGGACCGGGAAGGGGCUGUUGGUGGAUUGGCCCAGCUAUGGUCGCGAGGCCAAUUCGGCAGGCAAUGAACAACCAACUUAGAACUGGCAGUGACUAGGGGAAUCCGACUGUUUAAUUAAAACAAAGCAUUGCGAUGGCCGGAAACGGUGUUGACGCAAUGGAUU
This is a non-coding RNA of Nematostella vectensis (starlet sea anemone), 299 nucleotides long. Lineage: Eukaryota; Metazoa; Cnidaria; Anthozoa; Actiniaria; Edwardsiidae. The record is from Rfam.